This is a long non-coding RNA of Alexandromys fortis (reed vole), 1876 nucleotides long. RefSeq lists it as uncharacterized. The transcript is spliced from 3 exons. NCBI's taxonomy places the organism in Eukaryota, Metazoa, Chordata, Mammalia, Rodentia, Cricetidae. The record is from RefSeq and is a predicted model, not a curated record.
AUUACACAUCUCCUCUUACCAUAAGGAAGUAUGCUCACUUUUCAUUGUUGCCAUUGUAUCUGACUUUUGCCUCGUCUCUUCCUACUGACCAAUCACCUAUAGCCAGACAGGCAAAUUUAUGCAGACCUUGUGUGAGGAAAUAGUUCCCCGAUAUAUGAUUAAUGAUCUUUGAGUUAGGGCCUAUGGUCUGCCCUAUGAAUAAAGUUGAAGGAAUUCAGGACUACGUCAGGAGGUCAAGAGAGAAGAUUUGAACCCCGUCCUGCUGGCAACCAUAGGAGCGACGGUGAAGAAAGCAAUGUAGCUAGGAGCCUGACAACGUGAGAGCUAUAUAACAUAUGUGACUGGCAACAUACAAAGACUAAAGGAGGAACCACAGUGAAGCGAAUCAGCAUACCUAUCAUCUCACAGAGCCGGUCAUGUUUUGGCGCUAAGCACUCACUCACAUCAACUCAUUUAGCAUGAAUCUCAGACACGGGUGCAGUGGCACACAUCUGUGACCUCAUUGCCGCUAGAUCUGCAAAGGCGACUGGGGGGCUAAUGGAAAAUGCACAGGAGCAGAUCCUAACAUCUGGUUUGGACUGUUAAAGUACAUUCGACUAGAAAAUCUAGCCCCUGGCUUCAGAGGCUUCCCAGGUUGGCACGGUUUCCUGAGCCUUUGUUUCCAUCAAAAGCAAAGCUUGCUAGGGCUUUGAAUAAAAGGUCUCUGUGCUGAGGUACAUUAUUGUCUUGAGUGAUCUGGCGGCCUGAUUAGGUUGAAUUAAACCACUGGAGACUCUUCAAAAACCGGAGUCAAGCCAUGUCAUGAGGUAUAUACUGCGACAUCAAGUUCCUGUCACCACUAUGAGCUGCAGGGAAUGGAAAGGGUUCAAUUAGGUUGCCAAAUCCACUUCUACCUGCCACCAGAAGAGAACGUGGGCUAAAAACUGAUUUGGAAAAUAACAAUCACUGUUUUGUAACCUAAAGCCUUAAUUAGAAGUUAGGGAAUUGCUGUUCCUUCCAUGCACCCCACUCUCAGACAGUGUAAGCACGCUGAGCACCAACUGUGAUGAAUUUCAAUGUGUACUGUUUCUCCAAGCAAUAUCCUGCCAGGCUGGCCUAUAAGAUAACAAAAUCUCCAAUCUUGUUAUUUAGAAGAACAAGAAACAGAUUUUGGGGACAUUCCCACUCCUUUAAAAACUGCAAAGACCAGUUGGAAAAAAAAUCUAAAACAACAGCCAAGGGCAGAAAAGAAUUUAAUCUCCACCCUGCAUUGGGUGUUUCUGAAGUGGCACGCAUGCAGAGACCCACCUGGAAAAAGCAACAUGGGACGGAGAUAAUGAGAGCUAGGCAGAGGGCAAAGAACACUUAGUCUACCCAUCAGUGGCUUUCCAUAUUAAAAUGCUAUCUGCCUUUAGAAAAAGCUACAAGAGUUCUUUAAUGUCCCACAUAAUUAAUUCCUGCCAGCUGGUAUGCAAAACAAAGACAAGAUGGGGAACAGUAUUAUCAUGAUAGAUAAUUCUAUAUUAACAUUUUCCCCUUAACACAAUCCAAUUUCCAUAGUUUUCAAGUGAGGCAAAUGACGCAGGACCAAGAGGCUCCGAAAUAUUAACGUGCCAACUCCACUCCGAAACUUACCGCAGAUUGUGAUCUCUUUGGAGGGAAAGGUUUUUAUGUGAGUGAAAUUCGGCAUUUGCUUCAGGACUUUCCUAGCUUCAAAUAGCACCUCUAAGACGUAAUGAGCAUGAAGUGUCUGUGAAAGAGGGGCAGAGGAGAUGGAGAGAAUGAACAAGGGCGAAAGACAUGAUUGUAGAAAACUGUAAAAACAAAGCGUAUGAACACAUUUCAGGAUAAUCCUUAUUCUCAAAUAGAUUAUUCUAACAUAGUGUCUAGUACAUAA